AGUGAACGCUGGCGGUAGGCCUAACACAUGCAAGUCGAACGGCAGCACAGUAAGAGCUUGCUCUUACGGGUGGCGAGUGGCGGACGGGUGAGGAAUACAUCGGAAUCUACUUUUUCGUGGGGGAUAACGUAGGGAAACUUACGCUAAUACCGCAUACGACCUACGGGUGAAAGCAGGGGAUCUUCGGACCUUGCGCGAUUGAAUGAGCCGAUGUCGGAUUAGCUAGUUGGCGGGGUAAAGGCCCACCAAGGCGACGAUCCGUAGCUGGUCUGAGAGGAUGAUCAGCCACACUGGAACUGAGACACGGUCCAGACUCCUACGGGAGGCAGCAGUGGGGAAUAUUGGACAAUGGGCGGAAGCCUGAUCCAGCAAUACCGCGUGGGUGAAGAAGGCCUUCGGGUUGUAGAGCCCUUUUGUUGGGAAAGAAAAGCAGCAGGUUAAUACCCCGCUGUUCUGACGGUACCCAAAGAAUAAGCACCGGCUAACUUCGUG
Molecule: ribosomal RNA, 492 nt
Filed under: uncultured bacterium
Lineage: Bacteria
Description: partial 16S ribosomal RNA
Rfam family: Bacterial small subunit ribosomal RNA
Source: RNAcentral